UGUCUUUGGCAGGCAAGAUUGACAGUGCCAU
Molecule: non-coding RNA, 31 nt
Filed under: Rattus norvegicus (Norway rat)
Lineage: Eukaryota; Metazoa; Chordata; Mammalia; Rodentia; Muridae
Source: RNAcentral